CCUACGGGGUGCUGCAGUGAGGAAUAUUGGUCAAUGGGCGGGAGCCUGAACCAGCCAAGCCGCGUGAGGGAAGAAGGUACAGCGUAUCGUAAACCUCUUUUGUCAGGGAACAAAGGCGGGGACUAGUCCCCGGAUGAGGGUACCUGAAGAAAAAGCAUCGGCUAACUCCGUGCCAGCAGCCGCGGUAAUACGGAGGAUGCGAGCGUUAUCCGGAUUUAUUGGGUUUAAAGGGUGCGCAGGCGGCCUGUUAAGUCAGCGGUAAAAGCCCGGGGCUCAACCCCGGCGAGCCGUUGAAACUGGCGCUCUUGAGUGGAAGAGAAGUAUGCGGAAUGCGUGGUGUAGCGGUGAAAUGCAUAGAUAUCACGCAGAACUCCGAUUGCGAAGGCAGCUUACUAAACUAUAACUGACACUGAAGCACGAAAGCGUGGGGAUCAAACAGGAUUAGAUACCCCUGUAGUC
This 459-nucleotide ribosomal RNA is filed under the name uncultured bacterium. Its description in RNAcentral is "partial 16S ribosomal RNA". It matches the Rfam family "Bacterial small subunit ribosomal RNA", at positions 338 to 795 of the family's 1533-position model. The record is from RNAcentral.